RNAcentral lists this transfer RNA (80 nucleotides) under Nocardia seriolae. RNAcentral's name for it is "tRNA-Cys". Lineage: Bacteria; Bacillati; Actinomycetota; Actinomycetes; Mycobacteriales; Nocardiaceae. RNAcentral also lists the same sequence under 1 other name. The record is from RNAcentral.
CGCCGUGAUAGUGGACGGUGUUCUCCGAGAUCUGCAGGAUCGCGGGGCGGCCGGUGGCUUCGGCCGCCGCCGCGAUGGCC